This 321-nucleotide long non-coding RNA is filed under the name Manihot esculenta (cassava). Its description in RNAcentral is "long non-coding RNA (MESC_LNC012461)". The record is from RNAcentral. Lineage: Eukaryota; Viridiplantae; Streptophyta; Magnoliopsida; Malpighiales; Euphorbiaceae.
AGAAACCAACACUGUUAUCCAAAGAAGCCAAAUAAAUUAAAGAACAUUAACAUACCUUUUACAGUUGUUGAUGAGGACUGAGAACCGAGGAAGACUGAGGGCUGAGGAAGACUGAGGGCUGAGGACAACCAAGUUGCUGACGGUGCGGAGAGCCGAUGGACUGGAGAGCGACGACCGACGAUUGCGUGGAGAGCGACGACCGACGCCGAUUAGCGUCUCUACUCAGUGGAGACUGAUAUGCGUGACGUGAGGCGGCGUGGAAUGGAGAUUAGCGUCUCUACUCAGUGGCACCACUUUUAGAUUUAGGGCAAAUAAGGGUAC